GACGUAGGGGGCGAGCGUUGUCCGGAUUUAUUGGGCGUAAAGAGCUCGUAGGCGGUCUGUUGCGUCUGCUGUGAAAACUCGGGGCUUAACCCCGAGCCUGCAGUGGAUACGGGCAGACUAGAGGUAGGUAGGGGAGAAUGGAAUUCCCGGUGUAGCGGUGAAAUGCGCAGAUAUCGGGAGGAACACCGGUGGCGAAGGCGGUUCUCUGGGCCUUACCUGACGCUGAGGAGCGAAAGCGUGGGGAGCGAACAGG
This 253-nucleotide ribosomal RNA is filed under the name uncultured bacterium. RNAcentral describes it as "partial 16S ribosomal RNA". It matches the Rfam family "Bacterial small subunit ribosomal RNA", at positions 524 to 776 of the family's 1533-position model. The record is from RNAcentral.